This 446-nucleotide ribosomal RNA is filed under the name uncultured bacterium. RNAcentral describes it as "bacterial SSU rRNA". It matches the Rfam family "Bacterial small subunit ribosomal RNA", at positions 32 to 524 of the family's 1533-position model. The record is from RNAcentral.
AACGCUGGCGGCAGGCUUAACACAUGCAAGUCGAACGCCCUCUUCGGAGGGAGUGGCAGACGGGUGAGUAACGCGUGGGAACCUACCCAGUAGUACGGAAUAACUCAGGGAAACUUGUGCUAAUACCGUAUACGCCCUACGGGGGAAAGAUUUAUCGCUAUUGGAUGGGCCCGCGUUGGAUUAGUUUGUUGGUGAGGUAACGGCUCACCAAGGCUACGAUCCAUAGCUGGUCUGAGAGGAUGAUCAGCCACACUGGGACUGAGACACGGCCCAGACUCCUACGGGAGGCAGCAGUGGGGAAUAUUGGACAAUGGGGGAAACCCUGAUCCAGCCAUGCCGCGUGAGUGAAGAAGGCCCUAGGGUUGUAAAGCUCUUUCGCUAGGGAAGAUAAUGACGGUACCUAGUAAAGAAGCCCCGGCUAACUUCGUGCCAGCAGCCGCGGUAAU